AGGGAGAGAGAGAGACGGAGGCGACUUUAGGGUUUCACUCCUGUCGCCGGCGCCCCAGGCCGCAAGCCCGGAACAGAAUCUUCCUCUUCCGCCGUCGCCCCCGGCCGGAACAGAGGCUCGCCGCUCCCGCCGGCGAACCGGAGCUACAGGCGCAUCCGGCGGGCCGCUCUGCACCGGAGGCCGUCGUCCCCGAGCACAUUUCCGGCGGAAUCGCGCGUCUCCUCCUUCACCGGAUCUCCCUCCGCCCAACCCGCAGCGGCCGUCGUCUCCGACGGCCUGUUCCGCAUCUCGGCCGCCCUCCUGUGCCUGCAGCUUCCUCCUCCCACCUCAGCAUUCCGUCUAUCUGGCCGGCAUCUCCUCCACAGAGUGUUCAGUGAUGUGUACUGAGCAGUAACAAGAUCUCUUCCAACACUUGUGCCGUCUGAUUGCUUGCUUAUGGUCUUGGUUAACACAGUACCAUGGAUCCCGAUCCCGCCACUGACACCACUCUUGUUUUUGAAAAAGAUGUACUGGAAACAGUUUUUACUCAAGCUGCACCUUAUGUUGUAAGGCUUAAUAUGCGGCCCGUCCGUACAGGCCUCCUUAUUGGAUCAACAGAAUUGCAUGCUUUGGUAUCUGUUGACUCUUCUACGCUGACCGAAUUGCCCAUAUCGGUUCAGUUUUAUAAUCAGAAGAAAGCUGCAAUUGUUCAGAAGGUGGGGCAACUUCCUCGGUGCAGUAUUACUAUCCUGUUUACAGACCGCAUGCGCAACCCGUUGCCUCCUGUUCAAUUUGCUGAUUUGGAUCCCAAUGACAAUGUGUGCGAGAAGGUGGUGUCUCUUUUCCCCUAUAUGGAUGGAAUUUCUAUGUUCGAUGGACAUGUUGUGUUAAAUAAUUGCACUUCCAUGGGUAGGGGGGGGAACUAUUCAGCCAGGAUCCGCAGACUUGUUUGCAUUUACUUGCACAAACACGGUCCUAUUUCACACACCAAGAAACGAUGAUGAAGCAAAACUGGUAGCGGAACAUCUUCAAAAGAUUGCUGGUGCUGCUGUGUUCAACUUAAAGGGCGAGGUUGUUGGCAUACUAAGUUCAUAUGCUAGAGGUUAUGAUGUGAAACUGGCCAAGAAGUCAUCUUACUUUAAAAAGCACUUUGAUAAACUGGGAGACAAACAAGUGAAGUGGCUGAUGGGGCAGGGGGAGUUCUCUAAGUCGGAGAUCCUGAGGAAGCCUAAUAUCUGAAGACGCUCGAUGCUUUUUGGGUAAUUCUCGCAGUUGUAUUUUACAUCCUAACUUUUUUUGGUGCCCACCGUGAUAUUCAUAAUACUCCUCCAUUCCUGGUUGGUGGUAGUUUUUGUGAGACAUGAUCAACUAGACGGUGAGGUACCCGUACCUAAGUAGCUAUGGAAAGAACAACAAGUUAGCUAUGUCGCGGCCAGCGGUGACUUCCUCAGUACCAGGGCCCAUACCCAAGAAUAGGGUGAUGGAGCAUGGGUGGAGGCAUUCAAAUGUCGAGCUUUCUGGAUAACAGCGACAAUCUGAACAAUUCACCUAUAUCGAGAAUUUUUUGGUGCACAUAAAGGACCAUGGUGAUUUCUGUGGUUUUAAUUUUAGCAAGUGA
This is a long non-coding RNA of Triticum aestivum (bread wheat), 1597 nucleotides long. RefSeq lists it as uncharacterized. The transcript has 6 exons. The record is from RefSeq and is a predicted model, not a curated record. Lineage: Eukaryota; Viridiplantae; Streptophyta; Magnoliopsida; Poales; Poaceae.